ACCCUAAUUCCCCAUUCUCUCCUCCCGUCCCCUCAGCCGCCACCACUCCACCAAUCUCCCCCCGCCCGCUCCACGCUGGCGCCGCCGCAGAACAGGCCUUACCUGUCCCGAUCCAUCGAUGCCCUCUCUUCUCCCCUCUAUAUGCGUCGCCCCGUCCCCAUCUUUCCCACCGCUAUGGCCACCAGCCCGUACCUCCCACCCCAUUCCAGAUCACGCCCUCGAGCUGCGGCGACAGUGGUGGCAGCGGGUCCAACUGCUGCGGCUGGACGACGGUUGACGCCGUCUGCGCAGAUCAGUUCGCCUUCCUGGGUCGCAGUCAAGCAGAGCAUGUGCCACGGCGAUCUACGCUGCCCAUCUUAACCAGAUCGACGCUGAUGAGAGGUCUCUAAUGUCCCUUGCAGUGGCCACGGGUCCAUCUUCGGUCCACGGCAAGCUAUGGUGAGGUACACAUGGCGCUGAUGGAUGCAGUGUACAGGGGCGCCACCGCCACGCAGCUGGCCACCGGCUUCUGCCUGCUGCGGUACCGUGACGAGCACUGCUUCUCGGCUUUGCCAGGGCCCUCCCGCCCCGUGUUUAUGUGCUGAUCCUCGUCAUCAUCUUCGUCGGAUGGUUUUCUUGGAAGUUGGUCUUGUAUCAUUUCUACUUCAAGGAAAUGAAGCCACUGGUUAUGGUCUCUUUGGCACACAACUUAAUUUGUUAUCUCUGAAACUGUAGCCGGCUGUAGCCAGUGCUGAUGUACUUCUCAAGCGCUCCAUCACGGGCUCAAAGAGUACUCCAGCCGAACCACACUCCCACGGCUCUACGUCGAUGACGAGUUCUUUGGUGGCCGCACUGUUGGAUAAUUGGAGCUCGGAGACCAUGGUCAUGGUGUUGUUUGUACAGAAACCUGCGCCGACUUCCUUCUACAAUUAACUUUUAAGAUGUAAUUUUCCAUUAGUGAGCAUGGUAAUGCCCCUGAACCCCAUUCUCAUCCCAUUACAGCGGGCUAGACGUCGUCCUCCUCGAUGCGGCCGUCCCCGACGAGCUAUCUUGGCCAGAGGAGGCGGAGCAGCAAGGCCUUCUAUCAUCGUGCAUGGACCGACAGUUGCAUCCUCCUGCUCUCCUAGUGUGGAAGAAUAAUUCUUGCAGAUGUGAGGGAAGAACUUGUGGAGAGGCUUGCCUCGCUCUUCACAGAGGGCCAAUGCAUACUUGUUUUACUUCUGGAUGAACUUGUAUCUCUAUAUAUGUUUGUAAAUGUCCCCAAUGUGGCUUUAGUGAUGUCAUCUAGGAUGCUUGUUGUAAUGGAUGAUUCUUUUAGAAAGGGUCAUGGAUGAAAUAACAUGGAAAUUUGUAAACUUGGUCAAACUAUGGGCCUGGUACGUCAAAAUAAUUGAGUCGUGUAAGUUUGUUGUGCUA
Long non-coding RNA from Triticum aestivum (bread wheat), 1395 nucleotides. RefSeq lists it as uncharacterized. Lineage: Eukaryota; Viridiplantae; Streptophyta; Magnoliopsida; Poales; Poaceae. The record is from RefSeq and is a predicted model, not a curated record. The transcript has 6 exons.